Molecule: long non-coding RNA, 821 nt
Organism: Onychostoma macrolepis
Lineage: Eukaryota; Metazoa; Chordata; Actinopteri; Cypriniformes; Cyprinidae
Exons: 3
Source: RefSeq, a predicted model, not a curated record
CUGUAACAUUUUGAAAUGGAAAAGUGAAGAGGGGCCAUGAGGAAAAGACGAGUAUUAAAAACGACUUAACAUUUAAAACAGGACUACCCAUCCCACCCUGCUGUCUGGAAGUAUGAUCUCAGUAGGGUCACUGGUUGCUAUGGCAACAUCACAACGUUUGAUGUAAGAGCUAUGUCCAUUAAAAUGACAAUAGACAGAAAGCAAGGAACUGAUGAGAGAAACCAGAGGAGAAGACUAUAUAAAUCGUUUAUUACAAGGCAUUUCAACACAUAUGAAUCCACUAAUAUUCCCUGGUCCUUUGCUGGAAUGAUGCAGACCAGCACACAGGAGCCAGGGCAUUACAUCAUCACUCCUGUGCACACCGCACUGACCUUGUCGCCACAGCAACCAUCUUUACCUGACAUCACUGUCUGUGCGGAGAUUCUGAGUGCAAAUCAUUCUGAUUGGGCAUUUUUAUUGCGCGUUCUUUAUUUCAACAAAUCACUGAGCAGUUCAAGGAAAACAGUUUAACGACUAUUGCAGGUUCAUAGAUUCAAAUAAAAACAGGCUGUCCCGACUUUAAGGUGGCCAGUAAACUCAUUUAUUACAAUUCUGAUUCAUGAGCCUGAAACCACUGACUUCGAAGGAGACUACGGAGAGGGUGAAGUUGUGUGAUGUCACAGUUGCCAUGGAAACGGUUGAUGAACACUGAUUGGUAAUGAGCCACAUUGUACAAGGGUCAAAGACUGAAACUGUAAAAUAUGGCAGCACUCACCAUCCCAGCAAACCUGACCACUGGAACACAGGCCUCCAUCAAACAGACAACCUUGACAGAGAGAAAU